RNAcentral lists this ribosomal RNA (247 nucleotides) under uncultured bacterium. Its description in RNAcentral is "partial 16S ribosomal RNA". It matches the Rfam family "Bacterial small subunit ribosomal RNA", at positions 523 to 769 of the family's 1533-position model. The record is from RNAcentral.
AUACGUAGGGGGCAAGCGUUGUCCGGAAUCACUGGGCGUAAAGGGCGCGUAGGCGGUUUGUUAAGUCAGGUGUGAAAGUUUUCAGCUUAACUGGAAAAGUGCACUUGAAACUAACUUACUUGAGUACUGGAGAGGUAAGCGGAAUUCCUAGUGUAGCGGUGAAAUGCGUAGAUAUUAGGAGGAACACCAGUGGCGAAGGCGACUUACUGGACUGUAACUGACACUGAGGCACGAAAGCGUGGGUAGC